GACGAACGCUGGCGGCGUGCCUAAUACAUGCAAGUAGAACGCUGAAGAGAGGAGCUUGCUCUUCUUGGAUGAGUUGCGAACGGGUGAGUAACGCGUAGGUAACCUGCCUUGUAGCGGGGGAUAACUAUUGGAAACGAUAGCUAAUACCGCAUAACAAUGGAUGACCCAUGUCAUUUAUUUGAAAGGGGCAAAUGCUCCACUACAAGAUGGACCUGCGUUGUAUUAGCUAGUAGGUGAGGUAACGGCUCACCUAGGCGACGAUACAUAGCCGACCUGAGAGGGUGAUCGGCCACACUGGGACUGGAACACGGCCCAGACUCCUACGGGAGGCAGCAGUAGGGAAUCUUCGGCAAUGGGGGCAACCCUGACCGAGCAACGCCGCGUGAGUGAAGAAGGUUUUCGGAUCGUAAAGCUCUGUUGUAAGUCAAGAACGAGUGUGAGAGUGGAAAGUUCACACUGUGACGGUAGCUUACCAGAAAGGGACGGCUAACUACGUG
This 497-nucleotide ribosomal RNA is filed under the name uncultured bacterium. RNAcentral's name for it is "partial 16S ribosomal RNA". It matches the Rfam family "Bacterial small subunit ribosomal RNA", at positions 28 to 507 of the family's 1533-position model. The record is from RNAcentral.